RNA transcript from Microplitis mediator, 1458 nucleotides. It is a transcript of the gene named klaroid protein-like, with no coding region annotated. Lineage: Eukaryota; Metazoa; Arthropoda; Insecta; Hymenoptera; Braconidae. The record is from RefSeq and is a predicted model, not a curated record. The transcript is spliced from 7 exons.
AAAAAACGAUUAUUUUUUACCGUGAAGUUAUGAAUUUAAAACGGAUUCAGUACGCUCUAUCUUUGUUUACAAAUACGUAUAUAAAUUAUAAUGAGACAUCGUCGGACGUGUUGCUGUAUAAAUGCUGACGAUUGCAUUGUUAACAUCGAAAACUGUAAAUUAAUAUGCCACAGUAAACUCAUGAGGUUUCUGGCAUUUCUAAUCACUACAACGUUAUUAGCAAUAGCGGUGUCUUAUACUUGUGACAGACUUUCGGCAAGAGAUUCAAUCAAAUCAUUAACGGUAAACUUAGCUCACCUUCAAAAUCGUUUUCACACUCUUACGAUGGAGGUAAAUAGCGAUCUAGAUCGACGACAAAAAACAGAAGAGAAAAUAAUGGAAAUCGAUAACAUUGCUGUAAAAAUUUCAAAAAUUAUGCAACAAUGGAAUGAUAAAGAUGCUGAGAUUCACAUGCCAAGAUUAGACGAUGUGCGAAAUUUAAUCAAACAUGAAUUAAAACUUAAAGACGCUGCCAAAAUGGGCAAUACUGAUUAUGCUCUUGAAGUAUCUGGAGGUUCUAUACUUUCAAUACGAGAUACCCAAGCUUUUCAAUUUGAUUUAGACACAUUUUCAAUGUUCGAUUUGAUACCGUUUUGCCAAUGGCAGAAUAGCCCUCGAUCCGUAAUUCAAAACGACGUAUUACCUGGACAAUGUUGGGCGUUCAAAGGGUCAACAGGAUCAAUUGCAAUCAAAUUACUCCACUCUAUUUAUAUAUCUAGUAUAACACUUGAGCACAUUGCAGCCCAUUUAUCACCGAAUGGCAAAACGACUUCAGCUCCUCGAUAUUUCUCAAUUUGGGGGCUCAAAAGCAUUGAUGAUGUAAAAGGAUUCUUAUUUGGAGAAUUCACUUAUGAUAACUGUGCCUCACCAAUACAAAAUUUUCCAAUAAAAGAAAAAGCUAAUGAACCUUUCGGAAUAAUUGAAGUAAAAAUUCAUUCCAAUAGUGGAAAUCCUAAUUAUACUUGUCUCUAUAGAAUAAGAGUACACGGCCAACUCGCUCUCUAAAUAAUUAAGAUUUUACAUAUGCACUGGAAUUUCGGAUGCUGACAAUGUAGUUGAAAUUUUUCCUCUGUUUUACAUCAUCUGUUGGUUAUUUUUGCGUUCAUUACGUCUGGUGAACAUACCAAAUUAUUAGAAUAAAUCUGAAUUUGAUACUAUUCGGAUAUAAUUAGCAUUGUAUUUUUAAACCAACAACGAAACCCGUGAAAAAAUCUUUUUAUAAAAUUUUAAACAAGGCCCCGAGGAAUAAAUUCAUAAUUCAAUUGGUCAUUUAAAAAAGCCAAAUAUGUGAAAAACAGAGUUGAGUGAGCGAAUACGCAAAAGGAUUCUGGUGUAGGUGUGUUUCAGUUUAACAAUUAAAAUUUUACACUCUUUAUACAGUAUUGUGAGAAAUAAUGAUCAAAAAUACAAUUAACUAAA